This is an RNA transcript of Gorilla gorilla gorilla (western lowland gorilla), 4107 nucleotides long. It is a transcript of the gene named protein FRG1-like, with no coding region annotated. The record is from RefSeq and is a predicted model, not a curated record. NCBI's taxonomy places the organism in Eukaryota, Metazoa, Chordata, Mammalia, Primates, Hominidae. The transcript has 7 exons.
CCCAGAAGAACUCGGAAGUGGACAUCUCAGGCAUUCAGCGUUUGGGUGAAGACGAAGGCGGGUUCUGGACAUACGUACGCUGUCAGGGGGUGUUUACUUCGCCUCCACUUCUGUUCCUCCCCGCCGUGGUGCUGCUCCGGGUCACAUACUCGUCCUGAGCCGGCUUCAGCCUCUCCGCGCAGAAGUCUCCCGGAGCCAUGGCCUAGUACUCUUAUGUGAAGUCUACCAAGCUUGUGCUCAAGGCAACCGAGGUGAAGAGCUGGGUCCUGCAGCUCCAGCGGGAGCCUCCUCAGUUCUUUUCGGAUGCACUCCACCCCCGCGAAUCCAGUGGAAGCCUGGCUCGGAGAGCCGGCUUUGUGACCUCCCAGGCUUCGCCCUGGCCGGGCUGGAAGGAAGCCGGACAGCGGUUCCUGGCGCCUGUGCAGAGAGGGGUAGUCUCCCGCACGGACGACCCUGGAAACAGGAUAGAGGGGCGGGUGACCCGUGGCCCCGUACCCACGAGUUUGGUUCCCCUGAGGCAUCUCUCCAGGCCUCUGCCUUAUUUGCCUGAGGUUGACUGUACAUACAAAUAUUGAGCAUUUCCUCCUGGUCUCCGUGAUAAACAGAGGUUUUGAUAUUGUUAGGCGAGAUGGAAAGAAAGUAUCAAGGAGUGAGCUGAAGCCACUGCCCUUGAGAACCCUCUCGAGGAGUCUGGCCUCAUGAAGAUGCCAAAAUAAAUGGCAGGUAUAUCCUGGAUGAAUGAGAGAUUUUUACUCUGUGAAUUUCCUGUGAGGAGUGUAAGAAGAAAAAGAGCAAAGAUAAGAGAAAAAGAGAAGAAGAUGAAGAAACCCAGCUUGAUAUGUUGGAAUCUGGUGGAAAGUAACAAACUUUGGUGAAAUUUCAGGAACCAUAGCCAUUGAAAUGGAUGAGGGAACCUAUAUACAUGCACUCGACAAUGGUCUUUUUACCCUGGGAGCUCCACACAGUGAAGAAUCGCCCUGAAAUCUGGCUAUGGAAAAUAUCUUGGUAUAAAUUCAGAUGAACUUGUUUAUGGGCGUUCAGAUGCAAUUGGACCAAGAGAACAAUGGGAACCAGUCUUUCAAAAUGGGAAAAUGGCUUUGUUGGCCUCAAAUAGCUGCUUUAUUAGAUGCAGUGAAGCAGGGGACAGAGAAGCAAAAAGUAAAACAGCAGGAGAAGAAGAAAUGAUCAAGUUUAGGCUAUGAGCAGAGAUGGACGAGGUGGCUGCUAUAUUGGAUCAAGGAUAUGAGCAGAGAUGGAAGAGGCAGCAGCUGUAAUGGAUCAAGGCUAUGAGCAUCUUGUGAAGUAAGAUGUUAAAUCUGCAAAUAUCAGAGUGAAUCCAAACUUAUCAAUUCAACACUGGAUUGUAAAACAGCUCAAACAAAGCUAAAAAACAGCUCUACACUUUAGGAGGUUGAGACAGGCACAUUGCUCGAGCUCAGGAGUGGGAGACAAGUCUAGGAAACAUGGAAAAACCCUGUGUCUACAAAAAAAAAAUUUUUAUUAAUUAGCUGGGUAUGGUGGUAUAAGCCUGUGGUUCUAGCUUCUCGGGAGGCUGAGGUGAGAGGAUUGCUUGAGCCCGGAAGCUAGAGGCUGCAGUGAGCUCUGAUCAUGCCACUGCAUUCCAGCCUAGGUGACAGAGUGAGACCCUGUCUCAAAAACAAACAAACAAACAAACAAACAAAAAAGCUCUAAACGAAUGUGGCUGGAAAAGUAGCUCAAGUUGUUCCUGUCUGGUGAAAUACAAACAUAAAUGAAUUAUUUAUGUGCCCCAGUGGCUUCCUGAUGCUGAGAGCAAAGCCAGUUGUUCUGGCAGGUUCGGGAAAAAUUUAUCACAUCAUGGGGUUCAAUGCCAAUGCCAAAUCAUAAAUAUAAUAAUCAAGUCUGAAAGUGAACCCAGUUUCAGAGACAUCCAGAAGCCACUGUGUAUGAAGCUCCUUUCAGAUAGAGACAAGAGAUUAUUUGACUUCUUAUCUCUGUUGUCUAACACAAUGUCCAGAACACAACAGAUAUUCCAUAUGCACAGUCACAUCCUAUGUAUGUGUAUUUCUUUUCCAGCAAGGACUAGAGGUCCUAAGCUUUGUUUGUAUGGUGACCCAGUGCCCAAAUGAGCAGGAGAAUGUUAGCACAAUCACCUACACACUCAUUUCGAUGCUCUGACCCCUUAUCUUAGCUAGUCAAAGCGUGGUCUAUGAGUUUGCAUUUUAAUAAGAUCCGCGGGUGAAUCUUGUGCAUGUCAAAGGAAGAGAAGCACUGCCCUCAAAAUAUAGAGCAGGUGAACUAAAUUAUUAACUUAUAGAGGUAGGCUGGCUAUUUAUUUAUGUAUCUUGUUGAUGGGAAGAUUCAAAUUGAUAUACACAAUCACCCCCAUAAGGAUUUCAGGUAAAAAGCAAACAAACAAAGGUUUAGAUAUUAGAUAUAUUUUACAAUUACCACACCAGUCUUUUUACUACAGCAUCUAGUAGCACAUUUCUCAUAGAUUUAGAUGGAAAUUUUCAUCCCAUAAGCCUUCUGUUAGUAUUUUUAAAAUUGAAUACUCAAUAAAUAGUGGCCAAGUUGAAUCCCUUAGAGGAAUCUCACUCAAACUACAGUCAUAUUUUCCAAUAGGCCCCACAAACAUCAUUGCUCUAGAGCAAUCUAAUAUAUUUAUCCACCUCUUUAGACACUUAGGUAAGUGUAUUAAUACAAGUUGUGUGUGUGUGUAUUGUGAACCUUGUGGCCUCUUGCCCAGUUUCUGCAACACCUGAAGCUGAUGCAUGUUUAAUGUAAAUAAUGUCCAGCAAUGUUACAAAUGUUGGCUUUUAUGUGCCCAUCAGGAAAAAAAAGAUGAGUGUUACUGUAGAGGAAAUUUUGAUUCUGGAAAAAAAUGCAUACUAUUUGAAUUAUUAUUUUCAUGCUUUCCACAGAUAUUACACACAGAUAUUAUAUUCCAAGGAUUAUGUUUCAAAGUCAUCAAAAAUAGAAAAUACAUCUAUAUUUCUAACUGAAAUUAAUAAUAGUAAGUAGCCCACCUUUGGGGAAAUGUGAUAAAAAUAUUAAUGACCAUGACAACUCAUUAAAAACAUAAAUCGUGCAAUGAUUUAAACUACAUGUUCUUCAUAUGAAUCUGUGUGGAAAUAUAGACACAUUGGAUAAAUGCUAUUUAAAGUCUGAGUGCUUUGGUAAAUGAUUCAGCCAUCUGUAGUUUGAAGGGAUUACUUUUAUCUGCCUUCAUAGUGAGAAUUAGAUUUCUAUUCUUUAUAAAGCAGGGAAUACAGAUUGUGCAUGGAGUAAAAGCAUACAAUCCUUAUUAAUAAUGAUGGCAGCUGAGCUGCAGAGGAGAAAGCCUGUCAGAGUAACGUAUUCAGUUUUACAUAGAAUCAGAGGGGUGUCCACCUCUGUUGAAGGCAGAAUUAAAAACCCCUUCAACAUUUUUAAAAUAGGCCAGGCGCGGUGGCUCACGCCUGUAAUCCCAGCACUUUGGGAGGCCGAGGCGGGCGGAUCACGAGGUCAGGAGAUCGAGACCAUCCUGGCUAACACAGUGAAACCCCGUCUCCACUAAAAAAUACAAAAAAUUAGCCGGGCGUGGUGGCGGGCGCCUGUAGUCCCAGCUACGCGGGAGGCUGAGGCAGGAGAAUGGUGUGAACCCGGGAGGCGGAGCUUGCAGUGAGCCGAGAUCGCGCCACUGCACUCCAGCCUGGGCGACAGAGCGAGACUCCAUCUCAAAAAAAAAAAAAAAAAAAAAAAACAUUUUUAAAAUAAUAGAUGAAAAACAUCUCAAAGUCUCCUUUAAAAUUUGAAAUGACCAUUCCACAUAAAAGGAAGGGACCAAGAAUAUCUUAAAGAAAUACUUCACGAUGGAAUUGAUGUUUUAAGUGAAAUUUCAUCAAGGAGAAGUUUUUCCAAAAAGUAUUUUUACCUCAGGAAGAAUCUCAUUAGUUUAUUCUGUAAAUAGUUCCUAGUAAAAUGAUAAAGACUUGAUUUUUCAAAAACAAUAAAAAACUUACACGGUUUAAUCUAAUGUAGUGAUUUCGAAAGUGCUUCUUGUGUAAUCAUAGUUACGCAUGUGUAUUUAUAUGCAUUUUCUUAGCUCAUUCAAACGCCAAUAAAAUACUUUACUAUCCACGCUCC